RNAcentral lists this ribosomal RNA (497 nucleotides) under uncultured bacterium. Its description in RNAcentral is "partial 16S ribosomal RNA". It matches the Rfam family "Bacterial small subunit ribosomal RNA", at positions 28 to 507 of the family's 1533-position model. The record is from RNAcentral.
GAUGAACGCUGGCGGCGUGCCUAAUACAUGCAAGUCGAGCGAACAGAUGAGGAGCUUGCUCCUCUGACGUUAGCGGCGGACGGGUGAGUAACACGUGGAUAACCUACCUAUAAGACUGGGAUAACUUCGGGAAACCGGAGCUAAUACCGGAUAAUAUAUUGAACCGCAUGGUUCAAUAGUGAAAGACGGUUUUGCUGUCACUUAUAGAUGGAUCCGCGCCGCAUUAGCUAGUUGGUAAGGUAACGGCUUACCAAGGCAACGAUGCGUAGCCGACCUGAGAGGGGGAUCGGCAACAGUGGAGCGGAGCCACGGACAAGGCCACGCAGGGAGGGCGAAGGCGGGAACCUUCCGAAAGGGGGGAAACCCGGACGGAGCACCGCGGGGGGAGUAAUAAAGUUCUCGGGAUCGAAAAACUUGUUUAGUGGGGAAAAACAAAUGUGAAAGUAACUAUGCCCGUCUGGACGGGACAUAAUCAAAAAGCCAGGGCUAACUACGUC